Molecule: long non-coding RNA, 204 nt
Filed under: Capsicum annuum
Lineage: Eukaryota; Viridiplantae; Streptophyta; Magnoliopsida; Solanales; Solanaceae
Description: long non-coding RNA (CANN_LNC005010)
Source: RNAcentral
GAAUCUUCACCACCACCCUCACCAUUUGACCACUCAGCAGGUGUCUCAUCAUAACUGUAAAACAUGAAAGAAGGGAGUUUAGCAUUAGGCUUUAGGCCUUUCCAUAGGCCCUUAGCCCCUUUAAACAGUUUGUUGAAAAAUUUAUCCCUUUAUUUUUCUUGCUUCAGCAUCUUCUCACGUGAAGCCUUGAGAUCCCUAUGAGAU